UAUGCACCGAAGCCGCGGCAGCGAUAUGUAAAUAUUGUUGGGUAGGGGAGCGUUCUGUAAGCCUGUGAAGGUGACCUGUGAGGGUUGCUGGAGGUAUCAGAAGUGCGAAUGCUGACAUAAGUAACGAUAAUGCGGGUGAAAAACCCGCACGCCGGAAGACCAAGGGUUCCUGUCCAACGUUAAUCGGGGCAGGGUGAGUCGACCCCUAAGGCGAGGCUGAAAAGCGUAGUCGAUGGGCAACGGGUUAAUAUUCCCGUACUGGUGGUAACUGCGAAGGGGGGACGGAGAAAGCUAAAUCAUCCGGGCGACGGUUGUCCCGGUUUAAGCGUGCAGGUGGACUGACCAGGCAAAUCCGGUCGGUUGUUAACACUGAGGCGUGACGACGAGCCACUACGGUGGUGAAGUGAUUGAUGCUCUGCUUCCGGGAAAAGCCUCUAAGCUCCAGGUUACCAUUAAUCGUACCCCAAACCGACACAGGUGGUCAGGUAGAGAAUACU
RNAcentral lists this ribosomal RNA (497 nucleotides) under Salmonella enterica subsp. enterica serovar Typhimurium. RNAcentral describes it as "partial 23S ribosomal RNA". It matches the Rfam family "Bacterial large subunit ribosomal RNA", at positions 1188 to 1682 of the family's 2925-position model. Lineage: Bacteria; Pseudomonadati; Pseudomonadota; Gammaproteobacteria; Enterobacterales; Enterobacteriaceae. The record is from RNAcentral.